AGCUUUAUAGUCUAAAUUUUAGGAUAUUAAAUUGCAAGUUUAAAGAUAAAUAAAUAUUAUUUUAAGGCUU
This 70-nucleotide transfer RNA is filed under the name Onthophagus cervicapra. Its description in RNAcentral is "tRNA-Cys". Lineage: Eukaryota; Metazoa; Arthropoda; Insecta; Coleoptera; Scarabaeidae. The record is from RNAcentral.